This 1145-nucleotide long non-coding RNA is filed under the name Carassius auratus (goldfish). Its description in RNAcentral is "lncRNA (ENSCARG00000003197.1)". The record is from RNAcentral. Lineage: Eukaryota; Metazoa; Chordata; Actinopteri; Cypriniformes; Cyprinidae.
AUGAAAACAACAAACUUUUUAGACAUGUUUAAAGUUGCAGUGGACGAGGUUCUUCGGGAUACCUCCCUCCCUGAAAUGACUUUUUGCAGGUUGGGAUGUCUGUUAAAGCACUGCAUAUUAGAGCAUAUUGGCUGUAUGCCGAGGGAUCCCCAAAUUUCAGAGUGUCAUCCAGAGGGCGAGGACUCUGGCUGUGCGUCUCUGCGGCUCUCCUCCCAUCAUGCCCUGCUGCGGUGUGCAGAAGUUGAAGGUGCAGCAGUCUCCGGCUGAACCCAUGACCUCUGCAGACUGUGGAGAGGAGCAAUUUCCAGGGCAAUAAAAACCACCAUGGCAACAGAGAUGCUGUCUGUGACUCAUGGCCUUUGGGCCGCUUGAUAUCCAUAGAGAGGCUUUUUUGUGACCGAAUGCACAUACGCGAGCUUGAUUUUAUCGGAAAGGCCUGUAGAUAUCACAGCGAAUAUGCACUGUGCGAAACGAAAUGUCACGAAAACAAUUCACGACAUCUAGACAACUGAAGCCUCUUGUAUUUUUUUCUUUUCCAGCAGUCGGUUAAAUAAUGAAGCCCAUUUUCUACCUUAUAAAAUCAAGCUGAAUCACCCCCAUUCACAUGGACCGCGCGUCUGGUUUGAGAAUUUUUUUCUUCGUUUAAAUGCACCGUGACGAAAAGUAUAAAUCAGACGUUUAAGUUGGCCUGCUACAUGGCAAAACAAUGCCUCGUGGAGAGGAGAUGAAGAGGGUAACGCUAUAAUGUAAAAUAGUUAAAAGCUUAUUAGAGCCAUUGAAAGGCAGCGUGAUUUCCACUUUGUUUCGGAACACCCUGAGCUCUGCCUUUCAAGUGAUUGUGAAGGGGGCAAUUCAAAUCUCUUUGGGUCCAUAUGAAUGAAGGCCUCUUAAAGCUCUUUUAUAAGCCAGCAAAUUCCCCACAGGCUAUGCCCUUUAGCUCUAUUACUGAUUUACCAAAAGCAUUCAUCUCCAGCCUUCUGCUUCUCUUCUCCCAUUGUUCUCUCCGGUCGCCCCAGCACCUGACAACUCUAGCACCAGGCUUUCUUAGCUGCUGAAAACGUGCAGGCCACAACCACUGCGAAUAUUGCUAUAUAUCUUUGGACGCCUUUGCACCGCUGCACAUUUUACAACAGUUAAAAAGCAAC